GAUGAACGCUGGCGGCGUGCCUAAUACAUGCAAGUCGAGCGAACAGACGAGGAGCUUGCUCCUUUGACGUUAGCGGCGGACGGGUGAGUAACACGUGGGUAACCUACCUAUAAGACUGGGAUAACUUCGGGAAACCGGAGCUAAUACUGGAUAAUAUUUCGAACCGCAUGGUUCGAUAGUGAAAGAUGGCUUUGCUAUCACUUAUAGAUGGACCUGCGCCGGAUUAGCUAGUUGGUAAGGUAACGGCUUACCAAGGCAACGAUACGUAGCCGACCUGAGAGGGUGAUCGGCCACACUGGAACUGAGACACGGUCCAGACUCCUACGGGAGGCAGCAGUAGGGAAUAUUCCGCAAUGGGCGAAAGCCUGACGGAGCAACGCCGCGUGAGUGAUGAAGGUCUUCGGAUCGUAAAACUCUUUUAUUAGGGAAGAACAAACGUGUAAGUAACUGUGCACGUCUUGACGGUACCUAAUCAGAAAGCCACGGCUAACUACGUG
RNAcentral lists this ribosomal RNA (497 nucleotides) under uncultured bacterium. Its description in RNAcentral is "partial 16S ribosomal RNA". It matches the Rfam family "Bacterial small subunit ribosomal RNA", at positions 28 to 507 of the family's 1533-position model. The record is from RNAcentral.